Molecule: ribosomal RNA, 443 nt
Filed under: uncultured bacterium
Lineage: Bacteria
Description: partial 16S ribosomal RNA
Rfam family: Bacterial small subunit ribosomal RNA
Source: RNAcentral
CCUACGGGUGGCAGCAGUGGGGAAUAUUGGGCAAUGGGCGCAAGCCUGACCCAGCAACGCCGCGUGAAGGAAGAAGGCUUUAGGGUUGUAAACUUCUUUUCUCAGGGACGAAGCAAGUGACGGUACCUGAGGAAUAAGCCACGGCUAACUACGUACCAGCAGCCGCAGUAAUCCGUAGGUGGAAAUCGUUAUCCGGAUUUACUGGGUGUAAAGGGCGUGUCGGCGGGGACGCAAGUCAGAUGUGAAAACCACGGGCUCAACCUGUGGCCUGCAUUUGAAACUGUGUUUCUUGAGUACUGGAGAGGCAGACGGAAUUCCUAGUGUAGCGGUGAAAUGCGUAGAUAUUAGGAGGAACACCAGUGGCGAAGGCGGUCUGCUGGACAGCAACUGACGCUGAGGCGCGAAAGCGUGGGGAGCAAACAGGAUUAGAUACCCUUGUAGUC